RNAcentral lists this non-coding RNA (23 nucleotides) under Cricetulus griseus (Chinese hamster). Lineage: Eukaryota; Metazoa; Chordata; Mammalia; Rodentia; Cricetidae. The record is from RNAcentral.
UAAAGAUUGACUCGAGACAGUAU